AUACUUACCUGGUAGGGGAGUCACCAUGGUCAGGCAGGUGGUUUUCCCAGGGCGAGGCUCAUACUCUGCACUAUUUUUUUUUUUAAGGUCAUGGAGCAGAUCCUCCUAGAAGAUAUUUUCAAAACACACAGAAGAC
RNAcentral lists this small nuclear RNA (136 nucleotides) under Aquila chrysaetos chrysaetos. RNAcentral's name for it is "U1 spliceosomal RNA (ENSACCG00020013318.1)". It matches the Rfam family "U1 spliceosomal RNA", at positions 1 to 120 of the family's 166-position model. From Rfam's summary of the family: U1 is a small nuclear RNA (snRNA) component of the spliceosome (involved in pre-mRNA splicing). Its 5' end forms complementary base pairs with the 5' splice junction, thus defining the 5' donor site of an intron. The record is from RNAcentral. Lineage: Eukaryota; Metazoa; Chordata; Aves; Accipitriformes; Accipitridae.